UGAAAGGAAAAUUUUAUUGUACAGUCGUACGACGGGUAUGGGGGUAUGGGCAUGUUAUAGGAUAGCGGGUGUUGAGCACUAAAGCAGUUGCAUGUAUCUAAGAUAAGAGUUGCGAAAAAUGUUAAGGUGGAUGAGUGAUUAUACUAGAUUAGACUAGAUAAAGUUAGUAUCAGAGAAAAGAGGUGAGAAAAGGUAGGAGUGGUGCUAAUCUAGGAAAAGUUGAGAGAAUGGGGAUUGAGGUGGUUUGGUUAAAUAAGUAGAGCACAUUAAGUUAGAGAAUAGAAAAAAAAAAAAGAAGGGGUAGAUCUAAACUG
This 314-nucleotide unclassified non-coding RNA is filed under the name Hevea brasiliensis (rubber tree). Lineage: Eukaryota; Viridiplantae; Streptophyta; Magnoliopsida; Malpighiales; Euphorbiaceae. The record is from RNAcentral.